RNAcentral lists this ribosomal RNA (2917 nucleotides) under Enterococcus faecium UC7256. RNAcentral's name for it is "bacterial LSU rRNA". It matches the Rfam family "Bacterial large subunit ribosomal RNA". Lineage: Bacteria; Bacillati; Bacillota; Bacilli; Lactobacillales; Enterococcaceae. The record is from RNAcentral.
AGGUUAAGUGAAUAAGGGCGCACGGUGGAUGCCUUGGCACUAGGAGCCGAUGAAGGACGGGACUAACACCGAUAUGCUUUGGGGAGCUGUACGUAAGCUAUGAUCCAGAGAUUUCCGAAUGGGGGAACCCAGCAUCUUUAAUAGGAUGUUACGAUUGUGUGAAUACAUAGCACAUUCGAGGUAGACGCAGAGAACUGAAACAUCUAAGUACCUGCAGGAAGAGAAAGAAAAUUCGAUUCCCUGAGUAGCGGCGAGCGAAACGGGAAAAGCCCAAACCAACAAGCUUGCUUGUUGGGGUUGUAGGACUCCAAUAUGGUCGUUCUUUCAGAUAGUCGAAUGACUUGGAAAAGUCAGUCAAAGAGGGUAAAAACCCCGUAGACGAAAUGUGGAAGACACCUAGGAGGAUCCUGAGUACGGCGGAACACGAGAAAUUCCGUCGGAAUCCGGGAGGACCAAUCUCCCAAGGCUAAAUACUCCCUAGUGACCGAUAGUGAACCAGUACCGUGAGGGAAAGGUGAAAAGCACCCCGGAAGGGGAGUGAAAUAGAACCUGAAACCGUGUGCCUACAACAAGUCAAAGCCCGUUAAUGGGUGAUGGCGUGCCUUUUGUAGAAUGAACCGGCGAGUUACGAUUGCAUGCGAGGUUAAGUUGAAGAGACGGAGCCGCAGCGAAAGCGAGUCUGAAUAGGGCGUUUGAGUAUGUAGUCGUAGACCGAAACCAUGUGAUCUACCCAUGUCCAGGUUGAAGGUGCGGUAAAACGCACUGGAGGACCGAACCCACGUACGUUGAAAAGUGCGGGGAUGAGGUGUGGGUAGCGGAGAAAUUCCAAACGAACUUGGAGAUAGCUGGUUCUCUCCGAAAUAGCUUUAGGGCUAGCCUCGGAAUUGAGAAUGAUGGAGGUAGAGCACUGUUUGGACUAGGGGCCCAUCUCGGGUUACCGAAUUCAGAUAAACUCCGAAUGCCAUUCAUUCAUAUCCGGGAGUCAGACUGUGAGUGAUAAGAUCCAUAGUCGAAAGGGAAACAGCCCAGACCACCAGCUAAGGUCCCAAAAUAUAUGUUAAGUGGAAAAGGAUGUGGGGUUGCACAGACAACUAGGAUGUUGGCUUAGAAGCAGCCACCAUUUAAAGAGUGCGUAAUAGCUCACUAGUCGAGUGACCCUGCGCCGAAAAUGUACCGGGGCUAAACAUAUUACCGAAGCUGUGGAGUACACCUUUAGGUGUAUUGGUAGGAGAGCGUUCUAAGGGCGUCGAAGGCAGAUCGUGAGGACUGCUGGAGCGCUUAGAAGUGAGAAUGCCGGUAUGAGUAGCGAAAGACAGGUGAGAAUCCUGUCCACCGAAUGACUAAGGUUUCCUGGGGAAGGCUCGUCCGCCCAGGGUUAGUCGGGACCUAAGCCGAGGCCGAUAGGCGUAGGCGAUGGAUAACAGGUUGAUAUUCCUGUACCCGUUGUUUUUGUUUGAGCAAUGGAGGGACGCAGGAGGCUAAGGAAUGCAGACGAUCGGAAAUGUCUGUCCAAGCAGUAAGUCUGAAGAGGAGUCAAAUGCUUCUUUUCUUAAGGACAAGCUGUGAUGGGGAGGGAAAUAAUAGUACCGAAGUUCCUGAUGUCACACUGCCGAGAAAAGCUUCUAGUGAGAAAACAGCGGCCCGUACCGCAAACGACACAGGUAGUCGAGGAGAGAAUCCUAAGGUGAGCGAGAGAACUCUCGUUAAGGAACUCGGCAAAAUGACCCCGUAACUUCGGGAGAAGGGGUGCUGAUCAUACGAUCAGCCGCAGUGAAUAGGCCCAAGCGACUGUUUAUCAAAAACACAGGUCUCUGCAAAAUCGUAAGAUGAAGUAUAGGGGCUGACGCCUGCCCGGUGCUGGAAGGUUAAGAGGAGUGCUUAGCGCAAGCGAAGGUACGAAUUGAAGCCCCAGUAAACGGCGGCCGUAACUAUAACGGUCCUAAGGUAGCGAAAUUCCUUGUCGGGUAAGUUCCGACCCGCACGAAAGGCGUAACGAUUUGGGCACUGUCUCAACGAGAGACUCGGUGAAAUUUUAGUACCUGUGAAGAUGCAGGUUACCCGCGACAGGACGGAAAGACCCCAUGGAGCUUUACUGUAGUUUGAUAUUGAGUGUCUGUACCGCAUGUACAGGAUAGGUAGGAGCCGUAGAAAUCGGAACGCUAGUUUCGAUGGAGGCGCUGGUGGGAUACUACCCCUGCGUUAUGGCCACUCUAACCCGCACCACUGAUCGUGGUGGGAGACAGUGUCAGAUGGGCAGUUUGACUGGGGCGGCGCCUCCUAAAAGGUAACGGAGGCGCCCAAAGGUUCCCUCAGAAUGGUUGGAAAUCAUUCGAAGAGUGUAAAGGCAGAAGGGAGCUUGACUGCGAGACCAACAAGUCGAGCAGGGACGAAAGUCGGGCUUAGUGAUCCGGUGGUUCCGCAUGGAAGGGCCAUCGCUCAACGGAUAAAAGCUACCCUGGGGAUAACAGGCUUAUCUCCCCCAAGAGUCCACAUCGACGGGGAGGUUUGGCACCUCGAUGUCGGCUCGUCGCAUCCUGGGGCUGUAGUCGGUCCCAAGGGUUGGGCUGUUCGCCCAUUAAAGCGGCACGCGAGCUGGGUUCAGAACGUCGUGAGACAGUUCGGUCCCUAUCCGUCGCGGGCGUUGGAAAUUUGAGAGGAGCUGUCCUUAGUACGAGAGGACCGGGAUGGACUUACCGCUGGUGUACCAGUUGUUCUGCCAAGGGCAUUGCUGGGUAGCUAUGUAGGGAAGGGAUAAACGCUGAAAGCAUCUAAGUGUGAAGCCCACCUCAAGAUGAGAUUUCCCAUUUCUUUAAGAAAGUAAGAUCCCUGAGAGAUGAUCAGGUAGAUAGGUCAGGAGUUGAAAGUACAGUGAUGUAUGGAGCGGCUGAUACUAAUCGAAUCGAGGACUUAACCAAUU